Molecule: RNA transcript, 4678 nt
Organism: Aegilops tauschii subsp. strangulata
Lineage: Eukaryota; Viridiplantae; Streptophyta; Magnoliopsida; Poales; Poaceae
Source: RefSeq, a predicted model, not a curated record
CUCCGCUCCCUCAUUUCCGUUUCUUUUCCCCACAUGAGUCACGAGGGCGGCGGCGGCGGCGAGAUGGCCCUCCGCCCCGGCCCCCCGCAGGCGGCGGCGCCGCUGGAAGACGAGGACGUCCUGGGCGAGAUCCUCGUCCGCCUCCCCCCGCUGCCCUCCUCGCUCGUCCGCUCCGCCGCCGUCUCCAGGCACUGGGGGCGCCUCGCCGCGGACCGCGCCUUCCUCCGCCGCUUCCGCACCCACCACCGGAGGCCCCCCGUCCUCGGCGUCUUCGAGGAGCGCGACGGGGAGCUGGUGUUCACCCCGCUCCUCGACGCCCCCGACCGGAUCCCCCGCGAGCGCUUCUCCAUGCGGUUCUGGCACGUGCUCGGUUCCUGGACCUUGCUCGGGUACCGCCACGGCCGCGUCCUCAUGGUCAACCUGGAUCUGGCCCUGCUCCUCGUUUUCGCCCCUAUCGCCGGCGGCCGCCGCGGCCUCCGCGGCGUGGUGAUUCCUCCGGAUUUCGUCGACGGCGAGUACGCCGUCGCCAACGGAGCCGUGCUCUGCGCUGCCGGCGACGAGCAGGGCCACGUGCACGGAGACUGCCACUCGGGCCCCUUCAAGGUGGUUCUGGUGGCCACCAGAGUGGGACACCCGGUCCUAGCCCGGGUAUACUCCUCAGACACCGGUGAGUGGGGAGAUCUUGUCGUAAUGGCGGAACCAUGUGUUGUUAGCAGCUUCCCCUCCACCCUCGUCGGCAAUGCUCUUUACUGGUGGCUCAAAAAGUGUCAGCACGAGGAUGAUGGCAUACUCAAGUUCGAUUUGGAUAGCCAGACACUAUCUGUGAUCAAGAGGCCUAUUUUUAAUCACAUUCCCAGUUGCAGCAUCCGGAUCAUCAGGGGAGAGCAUGGCGGUGUUGGCCUCGCCGUAUGUUGGUACCCGAGGUUCCAAAUCUGGGAACGCAUGGUCAAUAGUCAUGGUACUGCCAUAUGGGUGCUGCGAAAGACGGCUCGCAUGCAUAGUAUGCUCCAGUAUGCUAUGCUGACUAUAGUAGGGUACUCUGAGGAUGGUGAUGCGCUUCUUCUAACAGUGUCCUUCGGUGGGGGUGUGGCCGCCUACAGCUUCAUGCUUCAACUUGAGUCAAUGGAGUGGACGAAUCUUAAUCAAAGUUUUUUGGAGUAUUCCUACCAUCCGUUCGCAUACUUCUAUACUGCAGGUACUGUCAGAGCGUCAAGUACCGCUCCAGCCAUUGAGCCACCACAGCAGCGAAGUACAAUUCCAGCCAUUGUGCCACCACAGCAGUGAAGUACUGGUCCAGCCAUUCCACAGCUGCGGGGUGGUCGCAUGAUUUAGUUGAUCAGUAGGAUUUGCAUCUGCAGCAGAGGCAUAUGUUGUUUAUAGGAUUUUUAAAUUCUUGUAUAUGAAGACCAUAGAAAGUGUAAAAUGAAAAUUUGGAUUUGGUCUCUUAACAGCACUUGGUGGUACGAGUUGAAUCAUAGAACAGGAGGCAGGUAAGUACAGGGGACAGGUAAGCAUUGUUAUUAUGAUCUGUUUGUAGCUUCCUAAAAAUGAGUGUACUGUCAUGGUCAUUUGACACAAUGAAGAAAAAACAAAGGAGUGUAGGCUGAUAGAAAUCGUAAUUGUGAGUUGGCACCUUGCUUUCAACAAAAGUUCAUCUCAUUGCUCCCUAUUUGUACGACAGCAAUACAUAUCAGUAAAAUAAAAGGAUGUUUAUUAGCCAGUUUUAGACGUGGUGGCAUAAUAUUAGUAAAAACUAAAGAAUGCUACUAUUCAUCAGAUUUUCCUUGUGCGAAUAUUUGCGUUGCCUUUUUUGGACCAUAACUUUUUGUUCUUUGGCAGAUGCAUAGUGUGCUACUACAAAAUAUUUACUUGAUCCUUGAUUGAAAUACUUUUAUGAACUGAGAUCUUGCGCUCUGCUUUUACCAAUCAGCCUGUUUGCUUCUUUUCUUACAUGUACUUUAAUUAUACAUUUCUGGAUUUGGUGCUUUAUUUGCUGCAGUUUCCUUGAUUCAGUAGAUGCAUGAUGUGCAUCAAUACGCUGGACUUCAUGAUCGGUUUUCCAUCUCACAUCAAUAGUUUAGGCCACUAUUUGUUUAUCCAUGCAUUUUAGGUAAACAUUGGUGUAGACUUGGUUGUUUUUUUUGGUUGUUUGUGGUAUCCAUUUUCCCCUAUACUAGGUAAUUGCCCGUGCGUUGCAUCUUGCAACGGAGGCAUACAAAAUGUACCACUAAAAUUUUAGUUAGUUUUUUACAUAACAACCAUGAUUUACCUUUAUUGUUAAUGUGAACCUUGAUUUACCAUCUAUUUAUUGUUAAUGUGACUGCAUACUAACUGAUGCAAUAAGCAAAUGUUAAGUGAUAACCUAAUUCUGGAAUAUCAGUUGUGGGAAAGUGCAGCACAAAUUAAUCCUAAUUUAAUUAUUUCCCCAACCUGCUUGGUCCUACAACAGGCAAACAUUAGGUUGCUAGCAACAAAAUGAUAUGCAAGGAAUAAAUUGGAAAGUGCAGCACAAAUUAAUCCUAAUUUAAUUAUUUCCCCAACCUGCUUGGUCCUACAACAGGCAAACAUUAGGUUGCUAGCAACAAAAUGAUAUGCAAGGAAUAAAUUGCAACCCCACAGAAGAGAAAAAAAGGGCUCUUUACCUUCUAUCCUCCCAAUCUGCAAAACAAAUAGAAUUGAGACAUAUUGUGCCAAUUCAAUUACUAAAGCUCAUGUCCAAUUUUGGAAGCUAAUGGCCAAGUAGUUGGCAAUUUUGUUUCUGAUGAGAAAUGCAUUGAUGCAAUUUUGUCCACUUUGGAUCAUUCCCUCUUAACAAAAAUGCCAGUGAUGUUUCUCUGAAUGUAGUAUACUGACCAUUUCAGCAGCAUAAUUUCUCUAGUGACCAUGCAGUAUUCAGUGACUUUUCUAGAUGACUAAUGUGCAGCAUGCAUGGAUGGCUGGGAGACUGGGCAGAGAGAGUUUGUCAUGAAAACUGUUUUUCGCUUUAACUUUCACUUUGUUGUGUUUCCUCUGUCCAUUCUUUCUUCAGUUAAAACUUCACUGCCAAAAACCAGAUUACCUCCUUCCAUGAUCUGCACAAAGGCAUAAGAAUACUAAAGUGUCACCAGACUGAGAGAUGCAAAGUACCAACUGCAUAAAAUCUGUGUCCAAAUCGUUUAGUUAUGGCAAUUACAAAUUUAGUUGUUUAAUAUAUACAAUAAGAAAUUCAGUGUUCUUCCAAUUACAUCAAAUUGGUAGUCAGUUUAUCCCAUGCAGUGCACAGGAAAAUGUCAAAACAAAGGAGAGGUUGAGGCCGUCUACCUUGCAGAGGAGCAAGCCCGUACUUGCUGCUGCCGGUCUUGGCGCCGCCUUCGCAUAGGUGGAGUUCGUCGAGGUCGAGAUCUGCGAGAUCCCCAGAGUGGCGCAUGUCAUAAGAGCAUCAAAAGAAUUCAGAGGAGGGGCUCUGAAUCGAACAUAGAAGAAUCAAAUCUUUUGCUUGCGGCGCCGGAUCAUGAGCCCCCGACGCCAAUCGGCCGGUGCCCCGUCGGCCUCUUUGGGUCAAUGACUUAGCAGACUGAUGCGAAGGCAGAGCCAGCGGGCGAGGAGGUCAAUGUAAGGAACCGGGGGGUGGCGGUGUCGCGCAGCGCGCUUUUGGGUAGCUCGGACAUCGAAGUGGCACCAGCGAGUCGAGGAGAGGAAGGAGGUGUUGAGGUGUGGGGUGGCGGCUGGCUGCAGCGGAUGUCCGGGAGCGGUAGGCGUGGCGGCGGAGAACAGGGUAAGGGUAUUUAGGGUUGACGAGUGGUGUGGGAUGGAAAGAUGAGAGGUGGGCGAUGGAUUCUGCUGGACUUUUUUUUCCUUGCGCGGGUUCUUUUGCCAUCUAGAAAACCGAGUGGGGGAGAGGAGCGGCACGAGGCAGGAUGUGAAACGGAAGAGGCGGACGAAAGGAACGAGCAAAAAGUUUUUUGACGGGAUAGGAAACCUUACUCUUUUUUUGGUAAGUAGAGAUGGUCCGUUUUGUCCUCUAGGAAACCAUUAUUGUUGAGUUGUUCCUUUGUGCUACUGUUCCUCCUUUUGUUUUUCCCCCUUUUGGUGUCUUCCUUCCCUGUUUUGUAGUUCCAUUUUGCACUGGAUUUUGGCAGUGGCAAAGUAAUAAACUUAUCACUGGCGUGCAUUCAUUUGACCUUUUGCUUUGUGCACACAAUCAUGCAUUAAUCUUUGGUUAUGUUGCUAUUAUUCUGUUUAGAGUUUUGCAGUCAGAUGCAUCUUUUGUGAAUAGCUCUUGUAGAGUUAAUCAGUGGGCUAUGGAAAUUUUAUCCCCUCACUCUAUAGGUUGGUUGGUUUGAAGCUUAGCAUAUAUUUUCUCCCUGAAUGCUAUCUAGUAUUUACAAAUAAGAAUGCUCUCAAUAAUAUCCAUGCCUCUAUUUUUUUUUGAAGAUUAAAUUCAGUUAGCUAAGUUUCAUUAUAUGGAUUUCUAACAGUUUAAUCUGCAGAAUGUUUUCAGACUAUCAGCUGAUUUUGCUGUAAGAACGUGAAUCGCAAGAAUCGUCACCUCUGUUUGGUUAAUCUGGCUAAUUUUGCUAUUUCUCCAUUGUUUUGUUGCUUUAAAAGCCAUGUUUGAAUUGUCUUUAUAUUUGAUUAACUGUACUACGUAAUAUUACCUACUUUGGUGAAGUACGGCCUCUAUUGUUUGCUUCUAGUA